AUGGAAGAGGUUCGCGAACUCCCUCUAUAAAAAACUAAGACUGC
Paenibacillus pini JCM 16418 is the source of this 44-nucleotide regulatory RNA element. It matches the Rfam family "PreQ1 (pre queuosine) riboswitch aptamer". Rfam says of the family: This family is a bacterial riboswitch that binds to the metabolite preQ1, an intermediate in the biosynthesis of the modified nucleoside queuosine from GTP. One example of this riboswitch is located in the leader of the Bacillus subtilis ykvJKLM (queCDEF) operon which encodes four genes necessary for queuosine production. NCBI's taxonomy places the organism in Bacteria, Bacillati, Bacillota, Bacilli, Caryophanales, Paenibacillaceae. The record is from Rfam.